This 1410-nucleotide ribosomal RNA is filed under the name Micrococcaceae bacterium NR120. RNAcentral's name for it is "16S ribosomal RNA". It matches the Rfam family "Bacterial small subunit ribosomal RNA". Lineage: Bacteria; Bacillati; Actinomycetota; Actinomycetes; Micrococcales; Micrococcaceae. The record is from RNAcentral.
ACGCUGGCGGCGUGCUUAACACAUGCAAGUCGAACGAUGAUGCCCAGCUUGCUGGGCGGAUUAGUGGCGAACGGGUGAGUAAUACGUGAGUAACCUGCCCUUGACUCUGGGAUAAGCCUGGGAAACUGGGUCUAAUACUGGAUACUACCUCUUACCGCAUGGUGGGUGGUGGAAAGGGUUUUACUGGUUUUGGAUGGGCUCACGGCCUAUCAGCUUGUUGGUGGGGUAAUGGCUCACCAAGGCGACGACGGGUAGCCGGCCUGAGAGGGUGACCGGCCACACUGGGACUGAGACACGGCCCAGACUCCUACGGGAGGCAGCAGUGGGGAAUAUUGCACAAUGGGCGGAAGCCUGAUGCAGCGACGCCGCGUGAGGGAUGACGGCCUUCGGGUUGUAAACCUCUUUCAGUAGGGAAGAAGCGAGAGUGACGGUACCUGCAGAAGAAGCGCCGGCUAACUACGUGCCAGCAGCCGCGGUAAUACGUAGGGCGCAAGCGUUGUCCGGAAUUAUUGGGCGUAAAGAGCUCGUAGGCGGUUUGUCGCGUCUGCUGUGAAAGCCCGGGGCUCAACCCCGGGUCUGCAGUGGGUACGGGCAGACUAGAGUGCAGUAGGGGAGACUGGAAUUCCUGGUGUAGCGGUGAAAUGCGCAGAUAUCAGGAGGAACACCGAUGGCGAAGGCAGGUCUCUGGGCUGUUACUGACGCUGAGGAGCGAAAGCAUGGGGAGCGAACAGGAUUAGAUACCCUGGUAGUCCAUGCCGUAAACGUUGGGCACUAGGUGUGGGGGACAUUCCCACGUUUUCCGCGCCGUAGCUAACGCAUUAAGUGCCCCGCCUGGGGAGUACGGCCGCAAGGCUAAAACUCAAAGGAAUUGACGGGGGCCCGCACAAGCGGCGGAGCAUGCGGAUUAAUUCGAUGCAACGCGAAGAACCUUACCAAGGCUUGACAUUCACCGGACCGCCCCAGAGAUGGGGUUUCCCUUCGGGGCUGGUGGACAGGUGGUGCAUGGUUGUCGUCAGCUCGUGUCGUGAGAUGUUGGGUUAAGUCCCGCAACGAGCGCAACCCUCGUUCUAUGUUGCCAGCACGUGAUGGUGGGGACUCAUAGGAGACUGCCGGGGUCAACUCGGAGGAAGGUGGGGAUGACGUCAAAUCAUCAUGCCCCUUAUGUCUUGGGCUUCACGCAUGCUACAAUGGCCGGUACAAAGGGUUGCGAUACUGUGAGGUGGAGCUAAUCCCAAAAAGCCGGUCUCAGUUCGGAUUGAGGUCUGCAACUCGACCUCAUGAAGUCGGAGUCGCUAGUAAUCGCAGAUCAGCAACGCUGCGGUGAAUACGUUCCCGGGCCUUGUACACACCGCCCGUCAAGUCACGAAAGUUGGUAACACCCGAAGCCGGUGGCCUAACCCCUUGUGGAGG